UUGAACGCUGGCGGCAUGCCUUACACAUGCCAGUCGAACGGUAACGGGCCUUCGGGUGCCGACGAGUGGCGAACGGGUGAGUAAUACAUCGGAACGUGCCCGAUCGUGGGGGAUAACGAGGCGAAAGCUUUGCUAAUACCGCAUACGAUCUACGGAUGAAAGCAGGGGACCGCAAGGCCUUGCGCGGACGGAGCGGCCGAUGGCAGAUUAGGUAGUUGGUGGGAUAAAAGCUUACCAAGCCGACGAUCUGUAGCUGGUCUGAGAUGAUGAUCAGCCACACUGGGACUGAGACACGGCCCAGACUCCUACGGGAGGCAGCAGUGGGGAAUUUUGGACAAUGGGCGCAAGCCUGAUCCAGCCAUGCCGCGUGCAGGAUGAAGGCCUUCGGGUUGUAAACUGCUUUUGUACGGAACGAAAAGCCUUCUUUUAAUACAGGAGGGUCAUGACGGUACCGUAAGAAUAAGCACCGGCUAACUACGUG
RNAcentral lists this ribosomal RNA (481 nucleotides) under uncultured bacterium. Its description in RNAcentral is "partial 16S ribosomal RNA". It matches the Rfam family "Bacterial small subunit ribosomal RNA", at positions 30 to 507 of the family's 1533-position model. The record is from RNAcentral.